This 757-nucleotide ribosomal RNA is filed under the name uncultured archaeon. Its description in RNAcentral is "bacterial SSU rRNA". It matches the Rfam family "Archaeal small subunit ribosomal RNA", at positions 102 to 859 of the family's 1478-position model. The record is from RNAcentral.
GGAUAAUCUACCCUUAGGACCGGGAUAACCCUGGGAAACUGGGGAUAAUACUGGAUAGGCAAUUAUUCCUGUAAUGGUUUUUUGUUUAAAUGUUUUUUCGCCUAAGGAUGAGUCUGCGGCCGAUUAGGUAGUUGGUUAGGUAAUGGCUUACCAAGCCGUUGAUCGGUACGGGUUGUGAGAGCAAGAGCCCGGAGAUGGAACCUGAGACAAGGUUCCAGGCCCUACGGGGUGCAGCAGGCGCGAAACCUCCGCAAUGUGAGAAAUCGCGACGGGGGGAUCCCAAGUGCCAUUCUUAACGGGAUGGCUUUUCAUUAGUGUAAAGAGCUUUUGGAAUAAGAGCUGGGCAAGACCGGUGCCAGCCGCCGCGGUAACACCGGCAGCUCUAGUGGUAACAAUUUUUAUUGGGCCUAAAGCGUCCGUAGCCGGUUUAAUAAGUCUCUGGUGAAAUCCUGCAGCUUAACUGUGGGAAUUGCUGGAGAUACUAUUAGACUUGAGACCGGGAGAGGUUAGAGGUACUCCCAGGGUAGAGGUGAAAUUCUGUAAUCCUGGGAGGACCGCCUGUUGCGAAGGCGCCUAACUGGAACGGUUCUGACGGUGAGGGACGAAAGUUAGGGGCGCGAACCGGAUUAGAUACCCGGGUAGUCCUAACUGUAAACGAUGCGGACUUGGUGUUGGGGUGGCUUUGAGCUGCUUCAGUGCCGAAGGGAAGCUGUUAAGUCCGCCGCCUGGGAAGUACGGUCGCAAGGCUGAAACUUAA